This 599-nucleotide long non-coding RNA is filed under the name Homo sapiens (human). RNAcentral describes it as "HSALNT0297790". Lineage: Eukaryota; Metazoa; Chordata; Mammalia; Primates; Hominidae. The record is from RNAcentral.
AUCACCACCAUGUUGGAGUUUGAGAAGGAGUGCUGCCCUAAACGGAGUAUACACAGUAUGUGUCCGGGCCUUAAAAGGUGAAGAAUAUUUAGACAGAUGAAGAGCAUUCCAGGUGGAAAGAACCAUAUAAGCAGACACUGGAAAGCAGGGUUUCUUCAAACACCUUUGAUAUACUGCAAGGGCUCUUUCUGAAGGAUGAGGAGGGAGAAGGUGGCCCAGGAGUCCACUGCGAGAUCCGAGGCAAGAGCAGAGCGGGGAUCAGGAGGCUUGAAGCAACCUGAAGGCAGCAGGAAAGAGCUGAUGUCUACUGGAUGCCUGAAGCAACACCUUAAUCUCAAUCUCCCCUGCUGGGAGCAGAUGCAGCGGGGUCCAGACAGACAGAGGCAAGGACUGCAGAGGGAAGGCCCCUUCUCCUGGAGCUGCCCCAAAAGCGGCCACCGGGGCCAUUCUUCUUCCUAGAAAGAACAUCUUUCUGCUUCCUAGUCAAGCUGCUGGACACUGCAGGUCAGGUUCACCCGCCUGACCACUGCAAAUCUCUUAGCUCAUUUUACUCCCCUCUGUUUUCUAACAGUGAUUCAGCUGGGUGAAUCAGGAGCCAG